RNAcentral lists this ribosomal RNA (253 nucleotides) under uncultured Neochlamydia sp. RNAcentral's name for it is "partial 16S ribosomal RNA". It matches the Rfam family "Bacterial small subunit ribosomal RNA", at positions 524 to 776 of the family's 1533-position model. Lineage: Bacteria; Pseudomonadati; Chlamydiota; Chlamydiia; Parachlamydiales; Parachlamydiaceae. The record is from RNAcentral.
UACGGAGGGUGCAAGCAUUAAUCGGAUUUAUUGGGCGUAAAGGGCGCGUAGGCGGAAAGAAAAGUCAGGUGUGAAAUCCCGGGGCUCAACCCCGGAACAGCAUUUGAAACUCUCUUCCUUGAGGCUAGAUGGAGAAAACGGAAUUCCACAAGUAGCGGUGAAAUGCGUAGAUAUGUGGAAGAACACCGGUGGCGAAGGCGGUUUUCUAAUUUAGACCUGACGCUGAGGCGCGAAAGCAAGGGGAUCAAACAGG